Ictidomys tridecemlineatus (thirteen-lined ground squirrel) is the source of this 1365-nucleotide long non-coding RNA. RefSeq lists it as uncharacterized. The record is from RefSeq and is a predicted model, not a curated record. NCBI's taxonomy places the organism in Eukaryota, Metazoa, Chordata, Mammalia, Rodentia, Sciuridae.
CGCUCUGCCCCGCCCCGACCUGCGCCAGCCAACCAUGAGUCCCCCCGCCUCCACGAAUCCCCGCCCACUCCGCCGCGGACCAAUCCACACUGUCUCCCAGCCCUCGUGUCCGCCCCAAGUCGCCCCCGACCAAUCGCUGAUUUUCACGGAGCUUCACUUGCCCGCCCCUAGCAGUAUUGACCAAUAAUAAGCAGCCGAGCUCUCCCAGGGUCGGUCGUUGAAAGCAGCUAUGUACCGCCUCCCGAACUAGCGGACCAAUCGCAAGUAAGUGUUGCCCUGACAUCCAGCGUGCCCUGGGGGAACUUUAAACCCCCCUUUCCCGCCCCUUUCUGAGCCGGCCUAUGGAUAACAGUAACCACACCCCCGGAUGCCACUAUUGGCCAAUCGCUGCCUGUUGCCCCGCCUCCCGCGUUGAGAUGGCCAAUCUUAGGCAGGUACUACAGUCUGGGUUUGAGUGCCUUCCAGAUUUCCAGAUUCUCCUGGAGUUGGUGACAAGAGUGGGCUUGACCGCUACAGGAGACUGAAGUCUCCUCCUGCAGAGCCUUCUGGAAGUUGGACGUGGGGAAGAAGCCUCAGCUCUGCACCUCAUCCAGAUGUUGACCUUGGUCCUGACCUUUCCCGGGUCUUAGACCUCAGUUGCCUAAAAAUAAACGUUAGACACUGUCCUGGGCUGAAUCAUAUCACAGCAGCAUUGUGCUGUUGUAGAAACUGUGACCUCCUCGUUUUCUGUAGGGGAAAAUGUCAUCUGUGUUGCAGAAAACUGACCACCGGCCAAAUCCUGUUCCUGCCUGGUUUUAUAUUACGGCUGCGUAGAAUUAUCCUGAUCUGCCUGAAUUCUGGGAUUUGUUCCUUCCCUCCUGAUUUGGCAUCACUGAAAACUAGGACUGCGCCUUCCCAAUGCUCCGCCAGUGCAGCUGCACAACUUCAUGUAAAUGGCAAAGAAAUCUUCACAACGGACCGUGUAUAACAUGCGCUGUGGAUGGAAUCCCGGGCCCCACACAGGCUAGAACAAGACCGUUCGCCCCUGAGCCACGAGCCCAACCCCUGAGAUGCUGCGGUGGCUGCUGCUGAUUUUUUGGUUCUGGGGAUUGAACCCAGGGAUGCUUAACCACUAAGCCACAUCCCAGCCCUUUUUAUUUUUUAGAGACAGGGCCUCGCUAAAUUGCUGAGGCUGACUUUGAACUUGUGAUCCUCCUGCCUCAGCCUCCCAAGCCACUGGGAUUCCAGGUGUGCGUCACCGCGCCCAGCUUGACUUUUCCACUUUUGAAAACUAUCCAAGGGGCUGGGGUGUAGCUCAGUGGCUGCCCAAAGCCCUGGGUUCCAUUCCCAGUGCUGCAAAAAAUGGAAUAAAAUAAAUCAUCACAA